RNAcentral lists this unclassified non-coding RNA (434 nucleotides) under soil metagenome. Its description in RNAcentral is "partial contains 5.8S ribosomal RNA, internal transcribed spacer 2, and large subunit ribosomal RNA". The stretch from base 1 to 120 matches the Rfam family "5.8S ribosomal RNA", at positions 35 to 154 of the family's 154-position model. The record is from RNAcentral.
GAUGAAGAACGCAGCGAAAUGCGAUACGUAAUGUGAAUUGCAGAAUUCAGUGAAUCAUCGAAUCUUUGAACGCAUAUUGCGCUCUUUGGUAUUCCGAAGAGCAUGCUUGUUUGAGUAUCAGUAAACACCUCAAAGCUUUUGGAUUUUUUAAUCGAAAAGCUUUGGACUUGAGCAAUCCCAACACCAAUCUUUUUGAGAUCGGUGGCGGGUUGCUUGAAAUGCAGGUGCAGCUGGACAUUCUCCUGAGCUAAAAGCAUAUUCAUUUAGUCCCGUCAAACGGAUUAUUACUUUUGCUGCAGCUAACAUAAAGGGAGUUUGACCGUAUUGGCUGACUGAUGCAGGAUUUCACAAGGGUCGGCAACGAUUCUUGUUAAACUCGAUCUCAAAUCAAGUAAGACUACCCGCUGAACUUAAGCAUAUCAUUAAGCGGAGGA